This 1023-nucleotide long non-coding RNA is filed under the name Cottoperca gobio. Its description in RNAcentral is "lncRNA (ENSCGOG00000022438.1)". Lineage: Eukaryota; Metazoa; Chordata; Actinopteri; Perciformes; Bovichtidae. The record is from RNAcentral.
AUGUGUGUGUUACAUGUUCCUGUUACAUUAAUGUGUGUUUUACAUGUUCCUGCUGCAUUAAUGUGUGUGUUACAUGUUCCUGUUACAUUAAUGUGGUGUGUUACAUGUUCAUGUUACAUUAAUGUGUGUGUUACAUGUUCCUGUUGCAUUAAUGUGUGUGUUACAUGUUCCUGUUACAUUAAUGUGUGUGUUACAUGUUCAUGUUACAUUAAUGUGUGUGUUACAUGUUCCUGUUGCAUUAAUGUGUGUGUUACAUGUUCCUGUUACAUUAAUGUGUGUGUUACAUGUUCAUGUUACAUUAAUGUGUGUGUUACAUGUUCCUGUUGCAUUAAUGUGUGUGUUACAUGUUCCUGUUACAUUAAUGUGUGUGUUACAUGUUCCUGUUGCAUUAAUGUGUGUGUUACAUGUUCCUGUUACAUUAAUGUGUGUGUUACAUGUUCCUGUUGCAUUAAUGUGUGUGUUACAUGUUCCUGUUGCAUUAAUGUGUGUGUUACAUGUUCCUGCUGCAUUAAUGUGUGUGUUACAUGUUCCUGUUACAUUAAUGUGUGUGUUACAUGUUCCUGCUGCAUUAAUGUGUGUGUUACAUGUUCCUGUUACAUUAAUGUGUGUGUUACAUGUUCCUGUUGCAUUAAUGUGUGUGUUACAUGUUCCUGUUGUAUUAAUGUGUGUGUUACAUGUUCCUGUUGCAUUAAUGUGUGUGUUACAUGUUCCUGCUGCAUUAAUGUGUGUGUUACAUGUUCCUGUUACAUUAAUGUGUGUGUUACAUGUUCCUGUUGCAUCAAUGUGUGUGUUACAUGUUCCUGUUGUAUUAAUGUGUGUGUUACAUGUUCCUGUUGCAUUAAUGUGUGUGUUACAUGUUCCUGCUGCAUUAAUGUGUGUGUUACAUGUUCCUGUUACAUUAAUGUGUGUUUUACAUGUUCCUGCUGCAUUAAUGUGUGUGUUACAUGUUCCUGUUACAUUAAUGUGUGUGUUACAUGUUCAUGUUACAUUAAUGUGUGUGUUACAUGUUCCUGUUGCAUUAAU